AUUAGACCGCCCUUGUAUACAACUAUACUUAACACAUCCAGGGCCCAGGACUUGCCAAUUAGUGCCAAACUACAAUUGCGAUACGCAGUGGGUUUUAGCUUCAAAAUAUUUUCUAUUUCUUAUUUUCUGAUUGGUCUUUUAAAAAAUGUCGAAAGUACAGCAAAGUCGAGCAAAUCAGCAACAACCACAAGGUUAUGGUCAACAACAACAAGGUUAUGGUCAACAACAAGGUUAUGACCAACAACAACAACAAGGUUAUGGUCAACAACAGUAUGGUUUUCAACAACAACCCACGCAUAAUACAACUGUAGUUAUUCAACAACCAGGGGUACAAGUAAAGGGCAAGAGAUCAUGGAAAAAUGGAUUAUGUGGCUGCUGUAAUGAUAUACCUAUCUGCUGUAUGGUCACAUUUUGUGGACAAUGUUACGGCUGUUAUCUGAUGACCCAAGCUGAUGAAUCUUGUUGUACGGCUUUCUGCUGCCCUGGUUAUCUUUUACCGCUCCGAUCUUACGUCAGAGGACGUCUUGGAAUAGAGGGCAACAUUAUGAGCGAUUUCUGUCAUUUGGCCUGUUGUUAUCAAUGUGUUAUGUGUCAGUUAGGCCAGGAAUUGCAGUCAAGCAGGGCAUCCGGAGAAUGGCAGAUGUCUUAAACAAUUCUAUCAUUAAACUUUCAUUG
This is a long non-coding RNA of Patella vulgata (common limpet), 675 nucleotides long. RefSeq lists it as uncharacterized. The transcript has 4 exons. The record is from RefSeq and is a predicted model, not a curated record. NCBI's taxonomy places the organism in Eukaryota, Metazoa, Mollusca, Gastropoda, Patellidae.